CUUUCUCCCUCUACUUCUUUAUCUACAUCUUUUGUUGCACUACUUCCAUUUGCAUCAUUUAAGAUUGGGGACCUACACAAAAGGACUUGGGAAUAUCAUUUGAAGAUAGAUAUUUGAUUAUUUUUCUACCUUAUUGAUUGUGUUUGGUUACAAAUAUAACUCUGUAUGCCAGAAAGAUUUAAAUGAUUGGAUUGUGCUGUUAAUAUCUGCUUUCAUCGGUUAAUUUCUCAA
RNAcentral lists this long non-coding RNA (231 nucleotides) under Sorghum bicolor (sorghum). RNAcentral describes it as "long non-coding RNA (SBIC_LNC011191)". The record is from RNAcentral. Lineage: Eukaryota; Viridiplantae; Streptophyta; Magnoliopsida; Poales; Poaceae.